This 253-nucleotide ribosomal RNA is filed under the name uncultured bacterium. RNAcentral describes it as "partial 16S ribosomal RNA". It matches the Rfam family "Bacterial small subunit ribosomal RNA", at positions 524 to 776 of the family's 1533-position model. The record is from RNAcentral.
UACGAAGGGGACUAGCGUUGUUCGGAAUUACUGGGCGUAAAGCGCACGUAGGCGGCUUUGUUAGUCAGGGGUGAAAUCCCGGGGCUCAACCUCGGAACUGCCUUUGAUACUGCAAGUCUCGAGUCCGAUAGAGGUGGGUGGAAUUCCUAGUGUAGAGGUGAAAUUCGUAGAUAUUAGGAAGAACACCGGUGGCGAAGGCGGCCCACUGGUCCGGUACUGACGCUGAGGUGCGAAAGCGUGGGGAGCAAACAGG